CUCUCUCCACUCCUCAGAGCAGGUGAGUCUCCUGUAUUGUGUCAGGUACUGGUAUCUCUCUCCCCUCCUCAGAGCAGGUGAGUCUCCUGUAUUGUGUCAGUUACCUGUAGCUCUCCACUCCUCAGAGCAGCUGAGUCUCCUGUAUUGUGUCAGGUACUGGUAUCUCUCUCUACUCAGAGCAGGUGAGUCUCCUGUAUUGUGUCAGGUACUGGUAUCUCUCUCCCCUCCUCAGAGCAGGUGAGUCUCCUGUAUUGUGUCAGUUACCUGUAUCUCUCUCCACUCCUCAGAGCAGGUGAGUCUCCUGUAUUGUGUCAGGUACUGGUAUCUCUCUCCACUCCUCAGAGCAGGUGAGUCUCCUGUAUUGUGUCAGUUACCUGUAUCUCUCUCCCCUCCUCAGAGCAGGUGAGUCUCCUGUAUUGUGUCAGGUACUGGU
Oncorhynchus keta (chum salmon) is the source of this 433-nucleotide long non-coding RNA. RefSeq lists it as uncharacterized. NCBI's taxonomy places the organism in Eukaryota, Metazoa, Chordata, Actinopteri, Salmoniformes, Salmonidae. The transcript has 3 exons. The record is from RefSeq and is a predicted model, not a curated record.